GGCUUAAUACAUGCAAGUCGAGGGGCAGCACGAUGUAGCAAUACAUUGGUGGCGACCGGCGGACGGGUGCGUAACACGUAUGCAACUUGCCCUAUACUGGAAGAUAGCCCGAAGAAAUUCGGAUUAAUAUUCCAUAACAUCAGGAUAAGCAUUUAUCUUGGUUCAAAGCUCCGGCGGUAUAGGAUGGGCAUGCGGUCGAUUGGCUUGUUGGUGAGGUAACGGCUCACCAAGGCGACGAUCGAUAGGGGGCCUGAGAGGGUGAUCCCCCACACUGGUACUGAGACACGGACCAGACUCCUACGGGAGGCAGCAGUAAGGAAUAUUGGUCAAAGGGCGAAAGCCUGAUCCAGCCACGCCGCGUGAAGGAAGACGGCCCUACGGGUCGGUUCUUC
RNAcentral lists this ribosomal RNA (392 nucleotides) under uncultured organism. RNAcentral's name for it is "bacterial SSU rRNA". It matches the Rfam family "Bacterial small subunit ribosomal RNA", at positions 45 to 433 of the family's 1533-position model. The record is from RNAcentral.